AUAUAUUAUUGCUCUAUACAAAUAAAACUUGCUUGACUUGACUUACCAAAUAGUUUUUUGAGGUGUGUAAAUCAAAGCUGCUAAAAAUAAGAAAAUCCUGGAUUCUCAUGUUAUCUUGAUCUGGAUUAGUCGUAGAUGUUUGCCAAGUGAUUUUAUAAUGGAAAAGAUACCAUCAUGUACUUUUGAUCUGAAUGUGGAAAAUGGUAACAUUUAAUUUGACAUAAGGAAGUAAAUUAUAUAAGUAACACUGAAUAUGGAAAAGUGUUGCUAACAUGUUGCCACAUUGUCAUAUUUUAAUUACAGGUACUCCCCCUCCCCCUCCGCCUUUAUCUCCUCUUUUACAGAAAGAAGAAAGAAACAUACCAUGGACUGAAAGACAGCGAGAACUGCAGCUUGUCAGAGAUUACAAGCCUCACAAAGAUGUCCAGCAUCUCAGAAUUAUGCUUCAUGGACCACCAGGUGCUGGAAAGUCCAGCUUCAUCAACUCUGUCGACAGUGCUUUAAGAGGCAAAAUUGCAACUCGAGCAUUGGCAGCGGCAAACUUUGGUGCCAGUUUCACUAAUGCAGUAUGAUGUAUCUAUUCUUAUCAUAGUUGCUGUUAGAGGCUUGCAUGAAAACACACUUAUUUCCUUUGAGGUUUUCUAGGACUACAGGAGCGCACUGCAGAGUGAAAAAUAGUCGGUAAAACUAGUGUGUAAACUAUUCUGAAAACUGUUCAGGAUCUUUGCUAUAUGGCACUAAUAUAACAACACCACAAUUUUUAU
Oreochromis niloticus (Nile tilapia) is the source of this 764-nucleotide long non-coding RNA. RefSeq lists it as uncharacterized. The record is from RefSeq and is a predicted model, not a curated record. The transcript has 3 exons. NCBI's taxonomy places the organism in Eukaryota, Metazoa, Chordata, Actinopteri, Cichliformes, Cichlidae.